GCCUAACCUAACAUGCAAUUAAAACACCAAUUGUUCGCCAAAUAACUACGAGUAAAAACUUAAAAUUUAAAAGACUUGACGGUACUUCACACCACCCUAGAGGAGCCUGUCUAAUAACCGAUAUUCCACGAUUAACCCAACCCGCCCUAGCCAAUCAGUCUAUAUACCGCCAUCGCCAGCUCACCUUGUAAAAGAAACACAGCGAGCCUAAAAGCACCACCACUAACACGAUAGGUCGAGGUGUAACUAAUGGGGGGGGAAUCAGGUGGGCUACAUUUUCUAGUACAGAAAACACGAAUAGACUAUGAAAGUAGAAACCGAAGGAGGAUUUAGUAGUAUGUUAAGGACAAAAUGCUUAACCGAAAUAAACGCAAUGAAGUGCGUACACACCGCCCGUCAUCCCUGUCAACACCCACUAAACCUUUAUAAACCAACACAAACUACCAAACAGGGCAAGUCGUAACAUGGUAAGCGUACUGGAAAGUGCGCUUAGAAA
Molecule: ribosomal RNA, 496 nt
Filed under: Rhabdophis nuchalis (Hubei keelback)
Lineage: Eukaryota; Metazoa; Chordata; Lepidosauria; Squamata; Natricidae
Description: partial 12S ribosomal RNA
Rfam family: Bacterial small subunit ribosomal RNA
Source: RNAcentral